CCAAUAGCGUAUAUUAAAGUUGUUGCAGUUAAAAAGCUCGUAGUUUAAUUUCGGGGUUCAUACGUUGGUCGGGCUUUUUGGUCUGUACUGGCGUGAUGGAUUCCUACCUUCUGAAUAACUGGCAUGUCAUUAAUUUGGUGCGCCGGGGAAGCGGGACUGUUACCUUGAAAACAUUAUAGUGCUUAAAGCAGGCUAUCGCCUGAAUCCAUUAGCAUUGAAUAAUGAAAUAGGACGGCAUGGUUCAAUUUUGUUGGUUUCUAGGAUCACCGUAAUGAUUAAUAGGGAUAGUUGGGGGCAUUAGUAUUCAAUUGGCAGAGGUGAAAUUCUUGGAUUUAUUGAAGAAUAACUUCUGCGAAAGCAUUUGCCAAGGAUGUUUUCAUUAAUCAAGAACGAAAGUUAGGGGAUCGAAGACGAUCAGAUACCGUCGUAGUCUUAACCAUAAACUAUGCCGACUAGGGAUCGGACGAUGUUAAUUUUUUAAUGACUCGUUCGGCGCCUUACG
This 502-nucleotide ribosomal RNA is filed under the name uncultured Glomeromycotina. RNAcentral describes it as "partial small subunit ribosomal RNA". It matches the Rfam family "Eukaryotic small subunit ribosomal RNA", at positions 591 to 1092 of the family's 1831-position model. The record is from RNAcentral. Lineage: Eukaryota; Fungi; Glomeromycota.